This 3275-nucleotide ribosomal RNA is filed under the name Triticum aestivum (bread wheat). Its description in RNAcentral is "partial small subunit ribosomal RNA". The record is from RNAcentral. Lineage: Eukaryota; Viridiplantae; Streptophyta; Magnoliopsida; Poales; Poaceae.
CGGAGCAUCCACCGGUUUGUUACCGGAUCAGAUUCAGAAGACGGGUUCUGAUCGGUGUUUUGUAAGGACAUGCGGCAUACUUGGCCACGUCCACAAGCGUCGCAUACCUGGUGCUAAGGUGCCCGCACGUCCGAGGUCCGGCAUUUUCUACUCUCAAGGACUGGUGUUGGAACGAAAGUAGGUUUGUGUUUUCGUUUUCGAAGUGUCGGAACGCUAACACUAUUUUGGUGUGACAAGAGCGAGCCGAGUCCGGAGUGCGCGCUUGUACUCCCAGAAGCCCGAGGAGCGAAAGCGGCCGACGCGCCGCGACGAGCGCCCACGGCCGCACGGCAGCUAGUAGUGGGUCCUCUUCAAGCUGCGGUACGACUCGUUGGCGUCGUUUCCGUCGACGCUCCCACCGCGCAAGAUGUGGAUGCUGCGCAAGCAGUUCCGGCACUCGGAAGCCGUGGUGGCCCCUGCUGUUCUGGGCGUCUGCCCUCGAGCGGCGGAAGAAGCCCGUCUGGAGGGUGCUUUGGCAACCAUACUACGCUCUACUGCGAAUACGAAAGUGAUAAGGGAGGCUAAAUAAAGUUAACAGAAACUCAAUCAUGUUGAAACAUGAUUUUAACCUGAUUGAGUCGUUGUUAAUUAUACCUAGCUCCCCACAUUGUACGAUAGUCCGAUACUGGAGUUCAAUGACGAAACACUUUCUCGUUUUAGGUCACUAGUACGCGAUGAUGCCUGCUCCGGGUCAUGUCGACUGGAUGCUGAAGUUGAUGGCUGUUCGGCCCCUCCGCAACCCCGACCUGGAGGAUCUGUUGGGCCUGGACUACAGGUGCUUGGGGCAGCACCGCAAGUUCUGCCGUUAGACCACCACCUACUGCGGAGUCCGCGGGUUUGGUAGCACAGUGCGGCACUACUGGUUACCAACCUGCGGAAGACGGGUUCUACAGCUGCGCCCCUACGAGGGCCCGAUGCCGUACUGGUGGUUGUAGAAGUUGCCGAGCCGCCUCACGCCGUUCCCGAUGCGCUGGGGCGGCCGGUUCCUGGCCCGGGCGAUGAUGUUCUACAUGACGCUGUACGAGUUUCAACUCAUGCCACUUUUGAUGCCCACGCCCGUGGUUUUGAAUUGUUUCUGCAACAACGGAGUGCCUCUUAGAAGCGGAGGAGCCUUGUCUUGGCCCGAAGACCAGCCGUAGAGACAUCCAAAAACGAGCAAAAGCAGUGAAACUAGACAAAGGAGGAUGCCGCUUUGGCCCGCUUUUUGGUAGUGGCUCGUUGCCUCGUUCCCGAUAGUCUCCGGCCGAAGAAACUACUGUUAGUCUCGUACCUUCUUCUGAAGCUCUUUCCUUGGCGCGGGUUCACCAAAACGAUGUCGCUGAACCGGUACCGGUGGCUGUUGAAAAGGCUGCUAUUCUUCGAGCCCGUUCCCCCGAAGCCGAGCCACAUGUUUCCUAAGGAGUUCCUUGACCUGGAAGUGCACCGGUAGUUUUCUCAGAGGUUCCCGAGCUUCGUUCCCUCCUUCCUCAUACGGAGACUCCACUCCCAGUAUUCGGCCGAAGCGGUGUUCUUGGAACACGUCGAAUAGCCGACCACGGUACCUCCGGCACUCAACGAGGAGCAGAUGCUCAACUACGGGUUGCCGUCGGAGCUGUCCGUAGAGACGCGACGGUUAUUACGGUAAGAAGGUACCAGCCAAUCCAUGCGGGUGGUCUCUUCUUCGUGGAGUGAGACGUAUAAUGAUGAGUGAGGUAAAAAUAAAUGAGACGUAUAAUCUCAAUUGACUUUAGUUUGAAGUAUUUCAAACUGGUUCAAAUAUCAUUUGUUAUAUUUAUAAAUGGCAUUGUUUAGAUAUACUACACUUUCAUGUAAGUUAUUACUUAGAUUACCAUCAUUAAACAAUAACAUAUACAAUUAUAAUAACAGAUAUUUAAAACAGUUUCAAAUAUUUUGAACUGAAACUGGUUUCGAUUAUGUACCUCAUUUAUUUUUUCUUCCCUCAUAGUGUAACGAAGUAAUACCACGUGCGGCCGUGUUACCCUAUGUACCUAGGUCUUACGUACUAGUGACCGUUCCGGUUGCGGCUCAGUCUACAAAUGUCGAAGCCGCAACAGGAGGACCUCUAGCGGACGCCGUCUGCUGGGCACCACCACCAAGUGGUUCUUCUUCUUCUACUACUACUUCUACGCCAGGUGGACCGAGUCACCCAGACCUCGAGCAUACCUUCUCCCUUCUAGGACCUACGGCGGCUGUGUGCCUAACCUCCUCUUAAGCUACGGGCCCUCUACCUCACGUACGACUAGCAGCCCGAAACCACACGAGUCGAGCUAGACUUCGACUCUGGCAGAUAGUCCGUCCGAGAGUUGCACAACGCCAAACUCCGCGGGGAGGGAGGGGAGGGGAGUUCCUACGGCCGACGUUCGAUGUACGGUGGCCAGUCACCAUGUCCCUCGACGUGUAGAAGUAGCCGCCAUUGUGCGGUUAGUUGCCGCGCCGGCGGUGAGUCAGCUCGAACUGAGUUCGUAGAAACGACUUUGCUCUGUCUGGUGUGCGACGAGACUAGCGUGGGCCUUUUUUCGGGUCAGUAAAAGGACACCUUCAACCUCAUAAAUGAUACCUUGUUUACGUAAAUGCAAGACUUUACGUCAUCCUGAGCAAACAAAAUUUGUACGUGAGCAACACAAAUUAAUGUAAUAAUCAACAUGGUAGUGAGUUGGAAAUGUUUCCAAAAGCACAAAAUCUUAACUUUGUGUAGUAGCCUAAAUGUGUUCAGUGGCUCGUUUGAGUGAAAUCGAUAUACAGUUGGUCGACUUUUUACAUAAACCCGGUGAGCUAAAAACUUGGUAACUAGAGACAGAGUUCUAAGUGCGAGGAACAAAAAAAAGGACAACACACACAACAGUACGAAACCCGACUUUAAAAACCGACUGGUAAUAGCACCCAGUUGGCUAAGGAAUAACCCGAAUUAGGGUAAAGCACAAACAUACAAAAAAAGAAAAGAUAAAAAUGAGACAAAAAUACACAUAAAAACCCUGAAACCCACUCACAUUUAACAUAUGUGUGUUCAUGAUAUAUUGUACACAUAUUUAUCAUAAGUACACUUUUGACGUGAUAAUAUAUAAAUAAAGAACAUGUAUAUGAUUUUUUCACGUUUCAACACACGUUCAAAAAUAAAUAAGACAAAGAAGAAUUUCCAAUCAUGGUUAUGGGCGAUUGAGUGAAAUGGUGGUGAAGAAAACACUAGGUACAUAUCGACUUGAAAACAGCCGUCUAACAUUGAGAUUUGAGUGAAAUGG